This 255-nucleotide ribosomal RNA is filed under the name uncultured bacterium. RNAcentral's name for it is "partial 16S ribosomal RNA". It matches the Rfam family "Bacterial small subunit ribosomal RNA", at positions 524 to 776 of the family's 1533-position model. The record is from RNAcentral.
UACGAGGGGGGCGAGCGUUUUCCGGAAUGAUUGGGCGUAAAGGGUUCGUAGGUGGUAUUAUGGUAGCUAUUAAUAAAAGACUAGGGCAAAACCCUAGGAAUGUUUUUAGAACACUCUUACUUGAGGGUAACAGAGGUUAGUAGAAUUUCAUAUUAAGGGGUGGAAUCCGUCGAGAUAUGAAGGAAUGCCAAUGGCGAAAGCAACUAACUGGGUUACAUCUGACGCUGAGGAACGAAAGCGUGGGGAGCAAACAGG